This 445-nucleotide ribosomal RNA is filed under the name uncultured bacterium. RNAcentral's name for it is "partial 16S ribosomal RNA". It matches the Rfam family "Bacterial small subunit ribosomal RNA", at positions 354 to 796 of the family's 1533-position model. The record is from RNAcentral.
GUGAGGAAUAUUGGUCAAUGGGCGAGAGCCUGAACCAGCCAAGUCGCGUGAAGGAAGAAGGAUCUAUGGUUCGUAAACUUCUUUUGCAGGGGAAUAAAGUGCGGGACGAGUCCUGUUUUGUAUGUACCCUGAGAAUAAGGAUCGGCUAACUCCGUGCCAGCAGCCGCGGUAAUACGGAGGAUCCGAGCGUUAUCCGGAUUUAUUGGGUUUAAAGGGUGCGUAGGUGGUUUGAUAAGUCAGCGGUGAAAGUUUGCAGCUUAACUGUAAAGAUGCCGUUGAAACUGUCGGACUUGAGUGUAAAUGAGGUAGGCGGAAUGCGUGGUGUAGCGGUGAAAUGCAUAGAUAUCACGCAGAACUCCGAUUGCGAAGGCAGCUUACUAAGCUACAACUGACACUGAAGCACGAAAGCGUGGGGAUCAAACAGGAUUAGAAACCCUUGUAGUCC